This 73-nucleotide transfer RNA is filed under the name Phenacostethus smithi. Its description in RNAcentral is "tRNA-Leu(CUN)". It matches the Rfam family "tRNA". Rfam says of the family: Transfer RNA (tRNA) molecules are approximately 80 nucleotides in length. Their secondary structure includes four short double-helical elements and three loops (D, anti-codon, and T loops). Further hydrogen bonds mediate the characteristic L-shaped molecular structure. tRNAs have two regions of fundamental functional importance: the anti-codon, which is responsible for specific mRNA codon recognition, and the 3' end, to which the tRNAs corresponding amino acid is attached (by aminoacyl-tRNA synthetases). tRNAs cope with the degeneracy of the genetic code in two manners: having more than one tRNA (with a specific anti-codon) for a particular amino acid; and 'wobble' base-pairing, i.e. permitting non-standard base-pairing at the 3rd anti-codon position. The record is from RNAcentral. Lineage: Eukaryota; Metazoa; Chordata; Actinopteri; Atheriniformes; Phallostethidae.
GCUUUUGAAGGAUAACAGCUCAUCCACUGGUCUUAGGAACCAGAGACUCUUGGUGCAACUCCAAGCAAAAGCU